UGGAUUAGCGGGAAUCGUGUAAGGAAGUUCAUUCCAUAUAUUGGUGAUCAUUUAUAUUUUUAUAAAAAAUCGUGAGUUAAUUACCGAAAAGCUCCAUAAUAUCCCAAUGUAAUGAUCUAGUCCUCAAUGUUGAUGCCGUUCUUAUUCUGCCCCCAAUGAAGACUACUGGUUCUUAAGUAGUCUUUAACCUUAUCGCUGGUGAAAUCCAAGGGCAAUUUCCUACCUCUUUUUACAGGUAAGAUUGCACAAUAUACAAAAAAAAGUAUACGAACAACAGAAGUAUGUUACUUGUUUUGAGUUUGGUGUUAAUCAUAAAAUUUUGGCCUUUCACCGGAAAUUGCCCAUUUUUAAUUACCUGUUGAGGUUGGUAAAAAUUUGAAAACAGUGGUCAUCCAUUGAGGAUGAUGCAGUGAAGAUGAAAUGAAAUACUGAGGAGGAUAUAGUCAACAACAGAUCAAGAUUUGCGAAUGUCACAUGAGAGCUGCAAGGAAAGGCCAUCUUUUUAGCUGAAUGGUUUGUUUGGAAGACACUAUAAAUGUCAUAUUUUCUAACUAUCUGUAAAGUUGCUCUUUCUUCUGUACUAGUCAUGGCUGUAAGUUAGUGUUCCAUGUACAUUCUGCUUUUUGACUUUGUGAGUCUGAACCAUAAUCAAGUAUGAUUUUCGAGUUAAGAGUAUUGGUCUGAUGCAAUGAAAAUAUGUCCG
RNAcentral lists this unclassified non-coding RNA (703 nucleotides) under Hevea brasiliensis (rubber tree). Lineage: Eukaryota; Viridiplantae; Streptophyta; Magnoliopsida; Malpighiales; Euphorbiaceae. The record is from RNAcentral.